This 333-nucleotide unclassified non-coding RNA is filed under the name soil metagenome. RNAcentral describes it as "partial contains 5.8S ribosomal RNA, internal transcribed spacer 2, and large subunit ribosomal RNA". The stretch from base 1 to 121 matches the Rfam family "5.8S ribosomal RNA", at positions 35 to 154 of the family's 154-position model. The record is from RNAcentral.
GAUGAAGAACGUAGCGAAAUGCGAUAAGUAAUGCGAAUUGCAGAAUUUCCGUGAGUCAUCGAAUCUUUGAACGCACAUUGCGCCCUUUGGUAUUCCUUAGGGCAUGCCUGUUCGAGCGUCAUUUAAACCUUCAAGCUCAGCUUGGUGUUGGGUGACUGUCCGCUUCACCGCGGACUCGCCUCAAAAUUAUUGGCGGCCGGUACAUUGGCUUCGAGCGCAGCAGAAACGCGAACUCGGGCCCGUCGUAUUGGCUCCCAGAAGCUAUCUUCACAAUUUUGACCUCGGAUCAGGUAGGGAUACCCGCUGAACUUAAGCAUAUCAAUAAGCGGAGGA